UACGAGAGGCCCAAACGUUAUUCGGAAUUACUGGGCUUAAAGAGUUCGUAGGCGGCGCAGAAAGUAGGGUGUGAAAGCCCUCGGCUCAACCGAGGAAUUGCGCCCUAAACUACUGUGCUUGAGGAACCUAGAGGUGAGCAGAACUGAUGGUGGAGCGGUGAAAUGCGUUGAUAUCAUCAGGAAUACCGGAGGCGAAGGCGGCUCACUGGGGGUUUUCUGACGCUGAGGAACGAAAGCCAGGGGAGCGAACGGG
RNAcentral lists this ribosomal RNA (253 nucleotides) under uncultured bacterium. Its description in RNAcentral is "partial 16S ribosomal RNA". It matches the Rfam family "Bacterial small subunit ribosomal RNA", at positions 524 to 776 of the family's 1533-position model. The record is from RNAcentral.